RNAcentral lists this ribosomal RNA (465 nucleotides) under uncultured archaeon. RNAcentral describes it as "bacterial SSU rRNA". It matches the Rfam family "Archaeal small subunit ribosomal RNA", at positions 24 to 464 of the family's 1478-position model. The record is from RNAcentral.
CCCGACUGCUAUCGGAUUGAGAUUUAGCCAUGCGAGUCGAACGUCCCCCUGUUGCGGGGGGCGUGGCGUACGGCUCAGUAACACGUAGUCAACCUGCCCUGGAGACAUGGACAACCCCGGGAAACUGGGAUUAAUCCGUGAUAGGUCAUCUCAUCUGGAAGGAGAGAUGGCUUAAAGGGGUGUGCGGGCUUCUUCUGCACAUUCGCUCCAGGAUGGGACUGCGACCGAUCAGGCUGUUGGCGGGGUAAUGGCCCACCAAACCUGUAACCGGUACGGGCCUUGAGAGAGGUGGCCCGGAGAUGGACACUGAGAGAAGGGUCCAGGUCCUACGGGGCGCAGCAGGCGCGAAACCUUCGCAAUGCGCGAAAGCGUGACGAGGUUAAUCCGAGUGGCCCCGCUGAGGGGGUCUUUUGUCAGCUGUUAAUAGGCGGGCGAAUAAAGGGAGGGCAAGCCUGGUGUCAGCCG